This 430-nucleotide ribosomal RNA is filed under the name uncultured bacterium. Its description in RNAcentral is "bacterial SSU rRNA". It matches the Rfam family "Bacterial small subunit ribosomal RNA", at positions 354 to 776 of the family's 1533-position model. The record is from RNAcentral.
GUGGGGAAUAUUGGACAAUGGGGGCAACCCUGAUCCAGCAAUGCCGCGUGUGUGAAGAAGGCCUGCGGGUUGUAAAGCACUUUAGGUGGGGAGGAACGUUUCAAUGCGAAUAGCUUUGAGAUAUGACGUUACCCACAGAAUAAGCACCGGCUAACUCUGUGCCAGCAGCCGCGGUAAUACAGAGGGUGCAAGCGUUAAUCGGAAUUACUGGGCGUAAAGGGCGCGUAGGCGGUUGAUUAAGUCGGAUGUGAAAGCCCCGGGCUUAACCUGGGAAUGGCAUUCGAAACUGGUUGACUAGAGUAGGAUAGAGGGAAGUGGAAUUUCCGGUGUAGCGGUGAAAUGCGUAGAUAUCGGAAGGAACACCAGUGGCGAAGGCGGCUUCCUGGAUUCAUACUGACGCUGAGGCGCGAAAGCGUGGGGAUCAAACAGG